CAGGUGCUGCUGAAUCAACGUUGCCAAAUGGCUCUCAGAGAAGACCUCUGGCCAUAUUGGGUCUACAGCUAUCGAAGCCAAAUGCCAAAAAGACUGGCUAUUUCAGUGACAAGACUGAUUUUCAUAAAUCUUCUACUGUUCUGGGAUAUGCUGCACAUGCAGUCUCCCUCAUUGCAUCAUAUCUCAAUGUUCCUCUUCGAUAUCCUUUGCGCUUUGGAGGUUCGCAGUCGUAUAUUCUUGAUCCUUCGCCCUCAGUUGAACCAUCAUCUAUAGGUGUACUCAUUUGCUACCUUGUGCCGUUUUGGGACAGUCACUGCAUAAGCCUUUCUGCAUGAGGCAUUCAGUUCACUAUGUUUUUUUUAAUUUUUACUUCCUACCUUCAAAUGCAGAUGGAUUUGCUGAGAAAGGUUGGUGCAGCUAGAGAAGUUAAUUGUUUUUUAUUGUUUGGACAUUAAAAUGUCAUGAUUAUAGGGUGGAACCAAGCAAUAGCUAGCUUGAUCAAAUUAUAUGGUAGAAUAUGCCAGACAUGCAUGUUUAAUGUAGAAUAAGCUAUAUAUUUUCCUGGUGAAUGGCAGAAACUGAAAACA
Molecule: long non-coding RNA, 587 nt
Organism: Panicum virgatum (switchgrass)
Lineage: Eukaryota; Viridiplantae; Streptophyta; Magnoliopsida; Poales; Poaceae
Exons: 2
Source: RefSeq, a predicted model, not a curated record